ACCAACGUGGCAUAGCGGUUUAAGUGUUGGACUAUAUGACUCCGGAGACCAGGGUUCAAUUCCCAGCUUGGCC
Non-coding RNA from Phrynosoma platyrhinos (Desert horned lizard), 73 nucleotides. Lineage: Eukaryota; Metazoa; Chordata; Lepidosauria; Squamata; Phrynosomatidae. The record is from the annotation of a GenBank genome assembly.